This 18-nucleotide unclassified non-coding RNA is filed under the name Chlamydomonas reinhardtii. RNAcentral describes it as "small RNA Cre_0015". The record is from RNAcentral. Lineage: Eukaryota; Viridiplantae; Chlorophyta; Chlorophyceae; Chlamydomonadales; Chlamydomonadaceae.
AAACCGUGCAUAUUGCCC